CAGCAGUCGCCGCGGGAAUACGUAGGGUGCAAGCGUUAAUCGGAAUUACUGGGCGUAAAGCGUGCGCAGGCGGUGUUGUAAGACUGAUGUGAAAUCCCCGGGCUCAACCUGGGAACUGCAUUGGUGACUGCAACGCUGGAGUGCGGCAGAGGGGGAUGGAAUUCCGCGUGUAGCAGUGAAAUGCGUAGAUAUGCGGAGGAACACCGAUGGCGAAGGCAAUCCCCUGGGCCUGCACUGACGCUCAUGCACGAAAGCGUGGGGAGCAAACAGGAUUAGAUACCCCCGUAGUCCCUGUCUCUUAUAC
This 304-nucleotide ribosomal RNA is filed under the name uncultured bacterium. RNAcentral's name for it is "partial 16S ribosomal RNA". It matches the Rfam family "Bacterial small subunit ribosomal RNA", at positions 509 to 807 of the family's 1533-position model. The record is from RNAcentral.